This is a long non-coding RNA of Solanum pennellii, 1234 nucleotides long. RefSeq lists it as uncharacterized. The transcript is spliced from 5 exons. Lineage: Eukaryota; Viridiplantae; Streptophyta; Magnoliopsida; Solanales; Solanaceae. The record is from RefSeq and is a predicted model, not a curated record.
GCGUGAACGGUGAAAUAAAUCCGGUACGCGCCUCACCGCUCUUCACGUUAUACACGGUGAUAGACGGAAAAGCAGUGACAACAAAGGAAAGUACAAUCCUUUAUAUCUUUACCCCCCCCCCAUCCCUUUCCUUGCGUAUGAUUUUUAGCUGACAGAACCAUGCGAAAACACCCUAUUAGCGUGAGAUUGCAUGCCACAUCAAUCAAGGAUGGUUGGAAUCGAUCAAAACCGUCUAGUCACCCUUUCUCUUUUUGGAAUGGGACCAAAAAUAUCAGAAAAAGUUUGUUUUUGACAAAAUAGUGAAAGAUUUUUAAAUUCAUGUCCCCCCUCCCUUUCAUUCAUUUUUUAUCCCCCCUUUUUCCGAGCCCUACUUCUACCUUGAUAAAUAUUGGUUUUGUGGUUCACUGUUAUGGGGGCAGAGGUUGGGGGAAUUUUUCUUAGUCGGUGAACAUUUUUUUUAGAGAAGUUUCUAUGUGAGAAAGAGGAAACAACAUGUAGAAUUUUGGUUCGAGAAGGUUUGAGAAAAAUAAAAUAUUAGAAUGAAAAACUUAAGAAAAGAGAAAGUAAAAGGUACACAAAAUAUGUGGGUUUCAAGUAGUCCCAACUUCCAAACAAGUAUUAUAGUAGGCACCAGGUUGCCGAGUCCUUCUUAUUGAUCGUUGGAAUUUCCGUAACUCGUGUGUCUGAAGGAAGCCGAAAUCCCUCAGAUCGUUGUCAUCCCACUUCUCUGCAACUAGAAAGACGCAGGUAACCAUGAUCAACACACAUCACAUCAUUGAUCGAGGUUAACAGUUCACAGUCAUUAGAAAUGGUGUCACAACCAUUCCUCAUCGUUCUCUAUACAAUCUUCAUGUUAUCCACAUGUGCCCUGGUGUCAAAGACCAGAUUUGAUGUUUAUGGAUCAUUUCCCAGAGUUUUUGCCAAACAAAUUAAGAUGAAUACAAUGACGUUAAAGGAAAGGUUGACACUGUGUAAGCUAUACGAAUUGGAAUUCAGGAUCCAGCUGUUGAUAUUAGAGAAGGCUUUGAAAAGUACUUGGAUUCUUAUGUUCCAAGUUUGGUAGGUCCUUACUUUUCGAGGACGAUGCUAUUAUGUACCUAUGGGAUGUUGUCUAGUCUUAAAGAAACUCCGCGCAUUAUCUUUCAUUUUUAUACUAUAAUUGUAAAGCCUAUAUGUGACUAUAAUUUUUUAUGUAAGCGCUAUGGACAAAUUGUGAUACUUAGAUUGUUUAAAA